UCCUGUGGUGCAUAAGGACUUCUGUGGAC
This 29-nucleotide non-coding RNA is filed under the name Rattus norvegicus (Norway rat). The record is from RNAcentral. Lineage: Eukaryota; Metazoa; Chordata; Mammalia; Rodentia; Muridae.